This 448-nucleotide long non-coding RNA is filed under the name Vitis vinifera (wine grape). Its description in RNAcentral is "long non-coding RNA (VVIN_LNC007447)". The record is from RNAcentral. Lineage: Eukaryota; Viridiplantae; Streptophyta; Magnoliopsida; Vitales; Vitaceae.
GCCUUAACAACUUCAAGUGGCUCGGUAAUGGAAGAUGGGUUGGCGGUGGCGGUGGUGAUGGAGGGGGCAGAUGGUUUGGGUGAUGAUGUGGGUGGUGGUUUAGAUGAUGGUUUGGUGAUGGUUUGAUGGUGAAGAGAGCUACUGCAAUGAGUGAGAUAAAUGGAGAAAAUGGGUAUGUGAAGGUUUAGAGAGAGAAGCGAGUUCAAAGACUAGCAUGGAUGAUAUGUGGUGUGGGAGAAAUGGGUUCGGUGGGCAGUGGGUUUGUGAAGAUGAGAAAGGUGGUGAGUGAAGUGGGUAUUGGGUGUUAAAGAAAAAUGAAGGUAUGAAUGGGGAUAGGUGUAUUAGGAUAUGAAGAAUGAAGACAUGGGUGUGGUGAUUGAAGGAUGUGGAAUGGUAGAUGGAGUUGCAAGACUGGUUUCCGUAAUGCAUGCAUCCUUAUGUCAUCCCC